GAUGACAUGACAUCACAAAGACCCAAGGAAGAGAAAAGAGAACAAUAUAUGAACCCUCUAUUCAUUGAACAUAAGCCAUAUGUUAAUUAAACGUAAUGGGUUUCUCCAUUUCAUGCAAUUGGAAGAGCACGAGAACAACCUACGAACUUUACACUUCCUGUUCUAUUGGAAGAAAACUGAGAUAAGCCAUGGAACAUGUGCUCAAUGGGUAUUCGAUGACAAAUCAGUGCAUAGUUAAUUAAGUUUGAUUAACUAUUGGAGAUGACAGUUGAUGAGACCUCGAUGCUUUGAUAUAACCUUAAUGUUUUUCCCCACCUCUAAUUCAAACUAAAGAGUCUUGCGAUUUGAGAUAUUUUUCCCUUUUCAAACUAAUCAUAAC
RNAcentral lists this long non-coding RNA (379 nucleotides) under Solanum tuberosum (potato). Its description in RNAcentral is "long non-coding RNA (STUB_LNC006179)". The record is from RNAcentral. Lineage: Eukaryota; Viridiplantae; Streptophyta; Magnoliopsida; Solanales; Solanaceae.